GCUGGCGUAGCUCAGUGGUAGAGCAGCUGAUUUGUAAUCAGCAGGCCGGGGGUUCAAAUCCCUUCGCCAGCU
This 72-nucleotide transfer RNA is filed under the name Thermodesulfobacteriota bacterium. RNAcentral's name for it is "tRNA-Thr". It matches the Rfam family "tRNA". Rfam says of the family: Transfer RNA (tRNA) molecules are approximately 80 nucleotides in length. Their secondary structure includes four short double-helical elements and three loops (D, anti-codon, and T loops). The record is from RNAcentral. Lineage: Bacteria; Pseudomonadati; Thermodesulfobacteriota. RNAcentral also lists the same sequence under 1 other name.